RNAcentral lists this transfer RNA (77 nucleotides) under Spartinivicinus marinus. RNAcentral describes it as "tRNA-Met". It matches the Rfam family "tRNA". From Rfam's summary of the family: Transfer RNA (tRNA) molecules are approximately 80 nucleotides in length. Lineage: Bacteria; Pseudomonadati; Pseudomonadota; Gammaproteobacteria; Oceanospirillales; Zooshikellaceae. The record is from RNAcentral.
UGCGGGGUGGAGCAGUCUGGUAGCUCGUCGGGCUCAUAACCCGAAGGUCGUUGGUUCGAAUCCAGCCUCCGCUACCA